GAUGAACGCUAGCUACAGGCUUAACACAUGCAAGUCGAGGGGCAGCAUGAACUUAGCUUGCUAAGUUUGAUGGCGACCGGCGCACGGGUGAGUAACACGUAUCCAACCUGCCGAUGACUCGGGGAUAGCCUUUCGAAAGAAAGAUUAAUACCCGAUGGCAUAGUUCUUCCGCAUGGUAGAACUAUUAAAGAAUUUCGGUCAUCGAUGGGGAUGCGUUCCAUUAGGUUGUUGGCGGGGUAACGGCCCACCAAGCCUUCGAUGGAUAGGGGUUCUGAGAGGAAGGUCCCCCACAUUGGAACUGAGACACGGUCCAAACUCCUACGGGAGGCAGCAGUGAGGAAUAUUGGUCAAUGGGCGAGAGCCUGAACCAGCCAAGUAGCGUGAAGGAUGAAGGUCCUACGGAUUGUAAAACUUCUUUUAUACGGGAAUAAAGUAUCCUACGUGUAGGAUUUUGUAUGUACCGUAUGAAUAAGCAUCGGCUAACUCCGUG
Molecule: ribosomal RNA, 490 nt
Filed under: uncultured bacterium
Lineage: Bacteria
Description: bacterial SSU rRNA
Rfam family: Bacterial small subunit ribosomal RNA
Source: RNAcentral